RNAcentral lists this ribosomal RNA (1438 nucleotides) under uncultured organism. Its description in RNAcentral is "SSU rRNA". It matches the Rfam family "Bacterial small subunit ribosomal RNA". The record is from RNAcentral.
AACGCUAGCUACAGGCUUAACACAUGCAAGUCGAGGUUCAUCAGGAAGAAAGCUUGCUUUCUUUGCUGGCGACCGGCGCACGGGUGAGUAACACGUAUCCAACCUGCCCUUUACUCGGGGAUAGCCUUUCGAAAGAAAGAUUAAUACCCGAUGGCAUAAUGAUUCCGCAUGGUUUCAUUAUUAAAGGAUUCCGGUAAAGGAUGGGGAUGCGUUCCAUUAGGUUGUUGGUGAGGUAACGGCUCACCAAGCCUUCGAUGGAUAGGGGUUCUGAGAGGAAGGUCCCCCACAUUGGAACUGAGACACGGUCCAAACUCCUACGGGAGGCAGCAGUGAGGAAUAUUGGUCAAUGGGCGCUAGCCUGAACCAGCCAAGUAGCGUGAAGGAUGAAGGCUCUAUGGGUCGUAAACUUCUUUUAUAUAAGAAUAAAGUGCAGUAUGUAUACUGUUUUGUAUGUAUUAUAUGAAUAAGGAUCGGCUAACUCCGUGCCAGCAGCCGCGGUAAUACGGAGGAUCCGAGCGUUAUCCGGAUUUAUUGGGUUUAAAGGGAGCGUAGGUGGACUGGUAAGUCAGUUGUGAAAGUUUGCGGCUCAACCGUAAAAUUGCAGUUGAUACUGUCAGUCUUGAGUACAGUAGAGGUGGGCGGAAUUCGUGGUGUAGCGGUGAAAUGCUUAGAUAUCACGAAGAACUCCGAUUGCGAAGGCAGCUCACUGGACUGCAACUGACACUGAUGCUCGAAAGUGUGGGUAUCAAACAGGAUUAGAUACCCUGGUAGUCCACACAGUAAACGAUGAAUACUCGCUGUUUGCGAUAUACAGUAAGCGGCCAAGCGAAAGCAUUAAGUAUUCCACCUGGGGAGUACGCCGGCAACGGUGAAACUCAAAGGAAUUGACGGGGGCCCGCACAAGCGGAGGAACAUGUGGUUUAAUUCGAUGAUACGCGAGGAACCUUACCCGGGCUUAAAUUGCAGUGGAAUGAUGUGGAAACAUGUCAGUGAGCAAUCACCGCUGUGAAGGUGCUGCAUGGUUGUCGUCAGCUCGUGCCGUGAGGUGUCGGCUUAAGUGCCAUAACGAGCGCAACCCUUAUCUUUAGUUACUAACAGGUUAUGCUGAGGACUCUAGAGAGACUGCCGUCGUAAGAUGUGAGGAAGGUGGGGAUGACGUCAAAUCAGCACGGCCCUUACGUCCGGGGCUACACACGUGUUACAAUGGGGGGUACAGAAGGCAGCUAGCGGGUGACCGUAUGCUAAUCCCAAAAGCCUCUCUCAGUUCGGAUCGAAGUCUGCAACCCGACUUCGUGAAGCUGGAUUCGCUAGUAAUCGCGCAUCAGCCACGGCGCGGUGAAUACGUUCCCGGGCCUUGUACACACCGCCCGUCAAGCCAUGGGAGCCGGGGGUACCUGAAGUACGUAACCGCAAGGAUCGUCCUAGGGUAAAACUGGUG